Long non-coding RNA from Gasterosteus aculeatus aculeatus (three-spined stickleback), 1362 nucleotides. NCBI's taxonomy places the organism in Eukaryota, Metazoa, Chordata, Actinopteri, Perciformes, Gasterosteidae. The record is from Ensembl.
CGUUCCUGCCAGAGGGCUUCUACCCAGUGAGAUCAGGUGUCCCAGGAGACACACCUGGACCUCAUCUCCUCAUCAAGGAGUGGGGACAAAAAAGGACAAGCAGAGGAGACGUGUUGGGAGAGCAGCAGUGUCGCUGCCGCCUCCGUUGCUUUAAACGUCCUGAGAAGCGUGGGCCCGCCGACGGUGUAUUUCACAUCCAGAUGUUUCGUGGUGGCAGCAGACAAAGCUGCACCCACCACAUUUUGGCUGCCAACUCGACUCUGCCUCUUCUGCUCUUCCCGGGGAGGGGGGUUGAAAGCUGUCAGAGGGUGACGCUAGACGAUGGGUGUCAGACUAAAUAAACGCCGGGGCAGCCAGGCCUUUUUGUGCGGUGUUAACAGUUUGACUGCAAAGCCCCCGCCACACCCUUUCAACCCGCCAAAAAGAGCCCGUCCUUCACAAUAAAACGGGCCCGGAGACGAGCUGAGGGAGCGCCAGCUCCCACAGACUGAAGGAUUUACAGAUCGCCAUGGAGCCGCAGCUGGCUGUAAAUGGACGCAGGAUGUCUUUGUUGAGUUGACGGGCGGGAAGGAGAGGUCGCUGUCUGUCAGCCGCCGGCUUUGUCUUGGGUCGGUCCGAGCGCCGGCCCGGGGACGGCCUCCGAUUGUGGGUCGCUUUUGCUCUUGGUUUUUAAAACUCUGUCAAUUACAGGGAGACGUGACUUUAUGUCUCCAUAUGGUGCGCGUUGUGUCCGGCAGCGGGGACGCAGAUUAGCAUUGGUAUGCUAACGUCGUUGAGCCCGGGCGAGGGUGGUAUUUGUAAUUGUGUGAGGGAUCAGAGUACUUUUUCCAUGACACUGGCAUGUAUGAAACAGAUGAUUUACUUCUCUUGUCCAGUUCCUAUUCUCUUUAUUUCAAACACGGCGUCUCUCAGAGACACACACACACACUUUAGUAUCUGGACACUCAUUGACGUAAGGAUCCUUGUGGCCACUUACCCAAAUCUUCACGGCGAGCUACCCGACCCUAAACCCUCACCGGAACCUUAAUCUGGACCUAAUUCUGACCUGAAACCUAAAACAGUCCUUUGAAGACGGACUAAAUGCCCUCACAAAGACAGCCGUGCUGGUACACAAACGCACACACUCUUGGAUAUAAGUUACUAAUAACCACAGAUCAACAGAAAAACGUUACUGCAGAUAUAAUUACUACUAACCUUUAAGGUGCUUCUUCAUAAUUUUUUUUGGAGCCAAAUAUUGUACAUUAUAAUCUGUUACACUUAUUGAAAUACUUCAAAUAACUUUUUUACUAGUUUCAAAAUGGAACCAAAAAGAUGUAAUAUUUUAGAUGAAGCUCAAACUUCACUGAAAUUCACACGAUUUUC